This 254-nucleotide ribosomal RNA is filed under the name uncultured bacterium. Its description in RNAcentral is "partial 16S ribosomal RNA". It matches the Rfam family "Bacterial small subunit ribosomal RNA", at positions 524 to 776 of the family's 1533-position model. The record is from RNAcentral.
UACGGGGGGAGCAAGCGUUGUUCGGAUUUACUGGGCGUAAAGGGCGCGUAGGCGGCCAGCACAAGUCAGUUGUGAAAUCUCCGAGCUUAACUCGGAACGGUCAACUGAUACUGUGCGGCUAGAGUGCAGAAGGGGCAACUGGAAUUCUUGGUGUAGCGGUGAAAUGCGCAGAUAUCAGGAGGAACACCGGUGGCGAAGGCGGGUCUCUGGGCCGAUACUGACGCUGAGGAGCGAAAGCGUGGGGAGCGAACAGG